AUCGCUUCUCAGCCUUUUGGCUAAGAUCAAGUGUAGUAACAUGGAGUGCAUGUAGCUUUUUGAAUUAAUUUUUGUUUUGUUCAGAUACUGUGUUUCCCUGAAAAUAAGACCUAGCCAGACAAUCAGCUCUAAUGCGUCUUUUGGAGCAAAAAUUAAUAUAAGACCUGGUCUUAUUUUACUAUGAUAUAAGAUUGGGUAUAAUAU
RNAcentral lists this small nuclear RNA (204 nucleotides) under Rhinolophus ferrumequinum (greater horseshoe bat). RNAcentral's name for it is "U2 spliceosomal RNA (ENSRFEG00010010623.1)". It matches the Rfam family "U2 spliceosomal RNA". Rfam says of the family: U2 is a small nuclear RNA (snRNA) component of the spliceosome (involved in pre-mRNA splicing). Complementary binding between U2 snRNA (in an area lying towards the 5' end but 3' to hairpin I) and the branchpoint sequence (BPS) of the intron results the bulging out of an unpaired adenosine, on the BPS, which initiates a nucleophilic attack at the intronic 5' splice site, thus starting the first of two transesterification reactions that mediate splicing. The record is from Rfam by way of RNAcentral. Lineage: Eukaryota; Metazoa; Chordata; Mammalia; Chiroptera; Rhinolophidae.